GCCUCCGUAGCUCAGGGGUAGAGCGCCUUCUUGGUAAGAAGGAGGGCACGAGUUCAAAUCUCGUCGGAGGCU
Molecule: transfer RNA, 72 nt
Filed under: Chloroflexota bacterium
Lineage: Bacteria; Bacillati; Chloroflexota
Description: tRNA-Thr
Rfam family: tRNA
About the family: Transfer RNA (tRNA) molecules are approximately 80 nucleotides in length.
Source: RNAcentral